Falco peregrinus (peregrine falcon) is the source of this 971-nucleotide non-coding RNA. The record is from the annotation of a RefSeq genome assembly. NCBI's taxonomy places the organism in Eukaryota, Metazoa, Chordata, Aves, Falconiformes, Falconidae.
GGGGGGCCUCGGCGUCGGGGCGGGCAGGGCCGGGCCCGCGCGUGGCUCCGCUGGGCUCCGCUGGGCUCCGCCGGCCCCGGCGCGGCAGGGCGGGAUGGCGGUCGGGCUGGGGCCGUGGCUGCUGGCCUUGGCCUGGGCCGCGGGGCCGGCAGGGGUGUGGGCGCAGCCGAGGCUGGUGGAGGCCGGUGGGGGGCUGCGACCGUCCGGGGGCUCCGUGCAGCUCUCCUGCCGCGCCUUCACCUUGCCAUUCAGCUUUCGUCAUGCUUACUGGUACCGUCAAGCAUUCGGUGGUGGACUGGAGUGGGUGUCUACCAUCUCGCAUGACUCCUCAGUCACUAAAUUCGGGCCAGGAGUGGAGGGUCGAGCCGCCGUGUCCCGGGACAAUUCCCAGUCUUUGUUAUAUCUCGCUCUGCGUGCCCUGCGCCCCCAGGACUCUGCCCGCUGCUUCUGCUUAAUCGACACGGUGGCAGGGAAUCCAGCAGAGCUCUCACAGAAACCUGCUGGAGUCUGGCCCAGACGGUGGGACUAUUGGGGAGUGGAGUGCUAGGGCAGCUCUGGAGUGUUCCCAGGGAGGGAGAGAGCAUCGCUGUGCAUGGUGGGUGGUCCAGCUUUUCAGCAAGAGCUGCUUUCCCUGCACUGUCCCUUUCCUUCUGCUGAGUCCCAAAAGCAGUGUUCUAUUUUGCAGAGGAUGUCCAGUAUAUUCCUUGUCACACAGCCAGCCUGGCUACUUUAGCUGUCUGCAGCACUUCUCUGCCUUGCCUUGAUCCCCAUCCUGGGUGCUCAUAGCGUGGAUGGGCAUACUCUCUUCUGAGUUAAAAACUGAGUGGAUGGCCAGACCCAAAGAGUGCUCUCCUGCCGCGGAUCCGGAUUCCAGUUCAAGGGUCUUGAUGUUUGGUGGUACCGUCAAGCAUUCGGUGGCGGACUCGAGUGGGUGUCCGCCUGCUGGUCAUUUGGUGCUAUAAAUUGUGGAG